This 75-nucleotide transfer RNA is filed under the name Hyphomonas sp. RNAcentral's name for it is "tRNA-Val". It matches the Rfam family "tRNA". Rfam says of the family: Transfer RNA (tRNA) molecules are approximately 80 nucleotides in length. Their secondary structure includes four short double-helical elements and three loops (D, anti-codon, and T loops). RNAcentral also lists the same sequence under 7 other names. The record is from RNAcentral. Lineage: Bacteria; Pseudomonadati; Pseudomonadota; Alphaproteobacteria; Hyphomonadales; Hyphomonadaceae.
GGGCGAUUAGCUCAGUGGUAGAGCACUGCCUUCACACGGCAGGGGUCAGUGGUUCGAACCCACUAUCGCCCACCA